RNAcentral lists this ribosomal RNA (253 nucleotides) under uncultured bacterium. RNAcentral describes it as "partial 16S ribosomal RNA". It matches the Rfam family "Bacterial small subunit ribosomal RNA", at positions 524 to 776 of the family's 1533-position model. The record is from RNAcentral.
UACGUAGGGGGCUAGCGUUGUCCGGAAUCAUUGGGCGUAAAGCGCGUGUAGGCGGUCCGGUAAGUCCGCUGUGAAAGUCGGGGGCUCAACCCUCGGAUGCCGGUGGAUACUGUCGGGCUUGAGUACGGAAGAGGCGAGUGGAAUUCCUGGUGUAGCGGUGGAAUGCGCAGAUAUCAGGAGGAACACCAAUGGCGAAGGCAGCUCUCUGGUACGUGACUGACACUGAGACGCGAAAGCGUGGGGAGCGAACAGG